AUGUUUCCAGUGCAGGCCCCGGUGCAGAUGUGCGGUAUUUCCCCUCUCGGAAGCUGCCAUCUGAGGCACUCCCACCAGCAGCCCCGCACGCUGCCUCGGCCUUCUGCAGCGCUCCGCCUCAGCCCGCUCACCCAGCACAGGGUAUCUCCUCACAUCUCCUUGUCCUCUCUGGAAGAUGGAAGUGUGGGAGACUGUGUGGGAGGAGGAGGGAUUUCCAGUGCGUGUUGCUUCAUCGGACUGAGGGAUGUGUUCCUCGGGGGCCUGCAGGGACCGCAGUCUCCUGAGAACAUUUUUUUCUGAGUGAUUCCAGCUUCCAGACAUUUGCCAUGAUAAGGGUUUCGAUCCUUUCCCAUAUUUGCCCUGAGUCAUGAGUGGAUAUGUGUGAUGCCUGCAAGUAAAACUGGUGAGUCGCCAAAGCCAUGUUUGCAGUAACUCUAACUCUUUCUUACAGUCUCUUUCCCUCACUCUUCUUUUCUUUUUGAUAUGGUGGGGAUUUGGGGUUCCUUUUUUUGUAAUGUCUGUGUUCAUAAACAAGUCACCACUAUUUUGUACCUCUCGAAUAAACACGUUAAUUGCAUUGAAAUAUCCA
RNAcentral lists this long non-coding RNA (589 nucleotides) under Coturnix japonica (Japanese quail). RNAcentral's name for it is "lncRNA (ENSCJPG00005018650.1)". Lineage: Eukaryota; Metazoa; Chordata; Aves; Galliformes; Phasianidae. The record is from RNAcentral.